AACGCUGGCGGCGUGCCUAACACAUGCAAGUCAACGGGGAUUUGUUUCGGCAGAAUCCUAGUGGCGAACGGGUGAGUAACGCGUAAGGCAACCUGCCCUCCGGCCGGGGACAACACUCCGAAAGGGGUGCUAAUACCGGAUACGAAGUCUGUGCCGCAUGGUACGGAUUUGAAAGAUGGCCUCUAUUUAUAAGCUAUCGCCGGGGGAUGGGCCUGCGUCCGAUUAGCUGGUUGGUGGGGUAACGGCCUACCAAGGCGACGAUCGGUAGCCGGUCUGAGAGGAUGAACGGCCACAUUGGGACUGAGACACGGCCCAGACUCCUACGGGAGGCAGCAGUGGGGAAUCUUCCGCAAUGGGCGCAAGCCUGACGGAGCAACGCCGCCGUGAGUGAGGAAGUUCUUCGGAACGUAAAGCUCUGUUGUUCCUGACGAACCUCCCCUCUAUCAACAACGGAAGGGACUGACGGUAGGGAACGAGGAAGCCACGGCUAACUACGUGCCAGCCGCCGC
Molecule: ribosomal RNA, 509 nt
Filed under: uncultured bacterium
Lineage: Bacteria
Description: bacterial SSU rRNA
Rfam family: Bacterial small subunit ribosomal RNA
Source: RNAcentral